CCUACGGGCGGCAGCAGUGGGGAAUAUUGGACAAUGGGCGAAAGCCUGAUCCAGCCAUGCCGCGUGUGUGAAGAAGGCCUUCGGGUUGUAAAGCACUUUCAGUGGGGAAGAAAGCCUUGGGGCUAAUACCCUCGAGGAAGGACAUCACCCACAAAAGAAGCACCGGCUAACUCCGUGCCAGCAGCCGCGGUAAUACGGAGGGUGCGAGCGUUAAUCGGAAUUACUGGGCGUAAAGCGCGCGUAGGCGGUCUGAUAAGCCGGUUGUGAAAGCCCCGGGCUCAACCUGGGAACGGCAUCCGGAACUGUCAGGCUAGAGUGCAGGAGAGGAAGGUAGAAUUCCCGGUGUAGCGGUGAAAUGCGUAGAGAUCGGGAGGAAUACCAGUGGCGAAGGCGGCCUUCUGGACUGACACUGACGCUGAGGUGCGAAAGCGUGGGUAGCAAACAGGAUUAGAUACCCUAGUAGUC
Molecule: ribosomal RNA, 465 nt
Filed under: Vreelandella stevensii
Lineage: Bacteria; Pseudomonadati; Pseudomonadota; Gammaproteobacteria; Oceanospirillales; Halomonadaceae
Description: partial 16S ribosomal RNA
Rfam family: Bacterial small subunit ribosomal RNA
Source: RNAcentral